Molecule: ribosomal RNA, 438 nt
Filed under: Vibrio sp. R-14876
Lineage: Bacteria; Pseudomonadati; Pseudomonadota; Gammaproteobacteria; Vibrionales; Vibrionaceae
Description: bacterial SSU rRNA
Rfam family: Bacterial small subunit ribosomal RNA
Source: RNAcentral
AUUGAACGCUGGCGGCAGGCCUAACACAUGCAAGUCGAGCGGAAACGAGUUAUCURARCCUUCGGGGGACRAUAACGGCGUCGAGCGGCGGACGGGUGAGUAAUGCCUAGGAAAUUGCCCUGAUGUGGGGGAUAACCAUUGGAAACGAUGGCUAAUACCGCAUGAUGCCUACGGGCCAAAGAGGGGGACCUUCGGGCCUCUCGCGUCAGGAUAUGCCUAGGUGGGAUUAGCUAGUUGGUGAGGUAAGGGCUCACCAAGGCGACGAUCCCUAGCUGGUCUGAGAGGAUGAUCAGCCACACUGGAACUGAGACACGGUCCAGACUCCUACGGGAGGCAGCAGUGGGGAAUAUUGCACAAUGGGCGCAAGCCUGAUGCAGCCAUGCCGCGUGUGUGAAGAAGGCCUUCGGGUUGUAAAGCACUUUCAGUCGUGAGGAAGGC